RNAcentral lists this ribosomal RNA (398 nucleotides) under uncultured bacterium. Its description in RNAcentral is "bacterial SSU rRNA". It matches the Rfam family "Bacterial small subunit ribosomal RNA", at positions 29 to 448 of the family's 1533-position model. The record is from RNAcentral.
AGCGAACGCUGGCGGCAGGCUUAACACAUGCAAGUCGAACGGGCGGUAGCAAUACGUCAGUGGCAGACGGGUGAGUAACGCGUGGGAACCGUACCUCUUGGUUCGGAACAACCCCAGGGAAACUUGGGCUAAUACCGGAUAAGCCCUUACGGGGAAAGAUUUAUCGCCGAAAGAUCGGCCCGCGUCUGAUUAGCUAGUUGGUGUGGUAACGGCGCACCAAGGCGACGAUCAGUAGCUGGUCUGAGAGGAUGAUCAGCCACCAUUGGGACUGAGACACGGCCCAAACUCCUACGGGAGGCAGCAGUGGGGAAUAUUGGACAAUGGGCGCAAGCCUGAUCCAGCCAUGCCGCGUGAGUGAUGAAGGCCCUAGGGUUGUAAAGCUCUUUUGUGCGGGAAGA